AUUCCAGCCAGCCAGAAAUCGAUAACUGAUGCACAUAGGUUGUUCAUGCUGAAAUUGAAAAAUGUAUCAAAUGGAUACGAACAUUGAAAAAAAAGUAAACAAUUUGGGAUGGAACGAGAA
Molecule: non-coding RNA, 120 nt
Organism: Caenorhabditis elegans
Lineage: Eukaryota; Metazoa; Nematoda; Chromadorea; Rhabditida; Rhabditidae
Source: Ensembl